Non-coding RNA from Echinostoma caproni, 69 nucleotides. The record is from Rfam. NCBI's taxonomy places the organism in Eukaryota, Metazoa, Platyhelminthes, Trematoda, Plagiorchiida, Echinostomatidae.
GUAGCUCAGCUGGUAGAGCAUGCGCGUACAAAGCGUAGGCGGUGUCCAUGCGUGGGUUCGAAUCCCACC